Molecule: ribosomal RNA, 254 nt
Filed under: uncultured bacterium
Lineage: Bacteria
Description: partial 16S ribosomal RNA
Rfam family: Bacterial small subunit ribosomal RNA
Source: RNAcentral
UACAGAGGUGGCAAGCGUUGUUCGGAAUUACUGGGCGUAAAGGGCGCGUAGGCGGCUCGACAAGUCCCGCGUGAAAGCCCCCGGCUCAACUGGGGAACUGCGCGGGAAACUGUCGGACUUGAGUUCGGGAGAGGGAAGCGGAAUUCCGGGUGUAGCGGUGAAAUGCGUAGAUAUCUGGAGGAACACCGGUGGCGAAGGCGGCAUCCUGGACCAACACUGACGCUGAGUGAGCGAAAGCCAGGGGAGCAAACGGG